RNAcentral lists this ribosomal RNA (301 nucleotides) under uncultured bacterium. Its description in RNAcentral is "partial 16S ribosomal RNA". It matches the Rfam family "Bacterial small subunit ribosomal RNA", at positions 509 to 808 of the family's 1533-position model. The record is from RNAcentral.
CAGUAGCCGCGGUAAUACGUAGGUCCCGAGCGUUGUCCGGAUUUAUUGGGCGUAAAGGGAGCGCAGGCGGUUUAGUAAGUCUGAAGUUAAAGGCAUUGGCUCAACCAAUGUAUGCUUUGGAAACUGUUAGACUUGAGUGCAGAAGGGGAGAGUGGAAUUCCAUGUGUAGCGGUGAAAUGCGUAGAUAUAUGGAGGAACACCAGUGGCGAAGGCGACUCUCUGGUCUGUAACUGACGCUGAGGCUCGGAAGCGUGGGUAGCAAACAGGAUUAGAUACCCGUGUAGUCCCUGUCUCUUAUACA